RNAcentral lists this ribosomal RNA (254 nucleotides) under uncultured bacterium. RNAcentral's name for it is "partial 16S ribosomal RNA". It matches the Rfam family "Bacterial small subunit ribosomal RNA", at positions 524 to 776 of the family's 1533-position model. The record is from RNAcentral.
UACGGAGGGAGCUAGCGUUGUUCGGAAUUACUGGGCGUAAAGCGCGCGUAGGCGGCUUUGUAAGUUAGAGGUGAGAGCCCGGAGCUCAACUCCGGAACUGCCUUUAAAACUGCAUCGCUUGAAUCCAGGAGAGGUGAGGUGGAAUUCCGAGUGUAGAGGUGAAAUUCGUAGAUAUUCGGAAGAACACCAGUGGCGAAGGCGGCUCACUGGACUGGUAUUGACGCUGAGGUGCGAAAGCGUGGGGAGCAAACAGG